Diorhabda carinulata is the source of this 2876-nucleotide RNA transcript. It is a transcript of the gene named juvenile hormone esterase-like, with no coding region annotated. NCBI's taxonomy places the organism in Eukaryota, Metazoa, Arthropoda, Insecta, Coleoptera, Chrysomelidae. The record is from RefSeq and is a predicted model, not a curated record. The transcript is spliced from 10 exons.
GUUGUGGAUUAAAUACUGUAAAGGUGUAUUGAGUAUUUCCAAAAUGUUACACGCUCAGACCUCAUUAUGUGUUACCUUAAUAUCUGUAUUGAUUACUAUCAACUGUAAACUUAUUGAAGACGCUACUAUAGUUCAGUUACCAAAAGGUAAAAUUCGAGGACAUAUUUUGAAAAGCGCUAAUAAUAAGGAUUUUUAUGCUUUCCAAGAAAUUCCCUACGCUGCUCCUCCAGUAGGACAAAACAGAUUCAAAUUACCUAAAGAACCUGAAGCUUGGAAUGACGUACUUGAUACAACGAAAAAUACAAAAAUUUGUUACCAAUACGAGACCCGCUAUCAUAAUUUAGAAAUUACAGAAGACUGUUUGUAUUUGAAUGUUUACACUCCACGGAUUCCAGGAAGUGAUGAUUUACUUCCAGUUUUAUUUUAUAUUCAUGGUGGAAGUUUGGUAAACGAUUCAGGAACUAUCGAAUAUUACGGACCAAAAUAUUUGAUUGAUCAUGAAGUUGUUAUAGUGACUAUCAACUACCGCAUGGGUCCUUUUGGAUUCGUCGGAACUAAUGACGGCGUUAUUCCAUUGAAUCUUGGUUUUAAAGAUCAAGUAUUGGCUAUCGAAUGGGUGAAUCAGAACAUACAUUUGUUUGGUGGUGACCCAGAUAGCGUGACUUUAGUCGGACAAAGUGCUGGGUCUCUGUCAGUUGGGUAUCACCUUAUUGGUCCAUGGAAUAACGGAAAGCAGUUAUUCCAUGGGGUUAUCAUGCAGAGCGGUACCCCGGUAUCAGGUUUAUUGGAACAACAACCGGGUACUGAAACAGAAACAGCUUUUCAGCUUGGUAGAGCUAUUGAUCCGUCGUUUACCUCAAAUAACACCAAAGAUUUAUUGAAGUUACUUAUAGAUGCCGAUGCACACGAUCUUAUGUGGACACACAUUGUUGGUGGCGCUGCUCUUGAAAGAGAUGGUCCAUUUUCUUAUCUACCGCUGCAGUCUUUCAUAGAUGGAAAUUAUAAGAAGGUUCCGGUAUUACUAGGCUUCAAUUCUGAAGAAUGGUUGUUUGCUUAUUUCGAUUUGAGCAAUGAGUUCUUGGAAACAGUAGAUCAGAAUCCUGAUUUGUUAAUACGAUCGCUACUAAAUAUGUCUACUGAAAACAGGCGCAUUGCGGGAAAGCUAUUACAACAACUCUAUACGAAAAAUAAAACUUUUGUUCAGGAUUGGGGUGCGUACGUACGGUAUAUAACUGAUGAAUACUUCACUACAGGAAUUUUUAAACAAGUAGAAUUGGCUUCUUCGCACGUUCCAUACUAUCUAUACAAAUUUUCUUAUAAAGGAUAUCUUGGUGAACAAAUGGAUAUGUUACCAUAUUUACCCGCAGAUGUAGAGACUGUCGCUCAUGCUGAAGAAGUAACCUACAUGUGGGAUAACGGCAGCAAUAGUGACCUAAGUCAAUUUCCCAAAGAAGACGUGUUAAUGUCCCAACGUUUCCUCAAGCUCUGGACCAAUUUUGUCAAAUACCAGUGAGUAUAUGGAUACCUCAUCGAAUACAAAUCGAUUUGUCAAAAAAUGAAGUUAAUUAAUCUUAAGUAAAAAUAUUCAUAUGCCUAGCAAGGUCAUUUUGAUUUUUCUCUGAUAUGUGCGAAUGUCUUCUGAUCAAUUGAAUAUACAGAAAUGAAUCGUUUUGAUAAGGAUUUCACUCUGAAUACAUUAUCAGUAUAUUUUAUUUUUUUUUUAUUUUAUCUAUAUAAGACAAAUCGUUUGUGUAGUGGUAUCAUUGUUAUUGAAUUAUAAUGAACAUUCCUAUUAUUGUAACAUGAAUUGUUGUAUCUAUGACAAUGGUUGCGGUCAAGGUGAGUUCCUCUCGAGCAUGCAAUGAAUUGGAUGGCUUUGAAGUACUUUUCAAAUUUAUUAUUGAUAGUUAAAACUAAAUUUCAUAUUGCUGCAUUAUCUUUCUGAAUCAGUUUUACCAAAACCGCUAGGUUAUCACGAAUAUCGCAUUACCGGAUUGUUAUUUGCCCAGGAGUACUUGGUUUGGACGACAAGAGGAGAGAUAUAUAGAAGAAAUUAUAAUAUUAUAUACGAGUGAACAACCUACAAAAAUUCUAAGGAUGUGAGGUACUUCAAUCUGUGUGAAGUUCAUAAGUUCCACCAUAACCUCAACCACAUUUUAUUAUUUGAAUGCCUGUAUGAAAAAGGACAGUCCUUACUAAAAAUGGAAUUUAUCCAUGGAAACAUGUGUUGAAAGUCUCUAAGAGGAUUGAACAAGAGUGCAUCAAUAAUCUUGAUACAUAUAUAGUAAUGAAGCAUAGAUGUAUUUGAAGAAAUCAAACAAUAUUGUCAUGUGACAUACCGUGAUGUUGAGGAAUUGUUGAGCUAUAGUAUGACUAGCAUCAACAUCAUUACAUGAACAUUUUUCCCGUUGGAUUCCACAUAACCUAUCAGAUGAAUGACUGAUUCACUAAAAUACUAAAAGGAAGGUGUAAAGAAAAAGGAAAAGAGAAACAACUAUAUAGUUAUUCAAAGGCCGUCCAAAAUGUGAGAACUUUACAGCAACGUAUGACGGCCAAUUCUAAAUUGUACACAGCCAUUGGAGAUAUUCAAAAAACGUCAUAAUUGUUGUGCCAUUCAACACACAGCUUUAAUUUGGUCUCUAAUGCUGUCUAUUUGUUCUCGCACUUCAGAAGUAUAACCAAUAAUUGUUUGACACCGUUAAUUUGGAUCUAUCUCCGUCGGAGUGAAAAACUAUGCCGAGAAUUGAUUCAAACCAAUAGAUAAGAGUACUUAACUUGAUUAAGACCAUAUUGAAAUACAAUAAAACUAUUUUCGAUAAUGGAUACUUGUUUCCUCAGAGAAAAAUCAACAGUAAGGCAAUAUUCCACAGAAUGUA